UGCUUUGCAGCGUUUAGUUUGGUUAGGCUCCUGAGCUUUUGCUGUGAGACGGGGCUGUGUGAGCAACCCUUUUUAUAGAGGGGGAGGGCUGAGGGGAGAGAGGCUGCAUGACUCUCCCAGCCUCGGGCAGGAAAUCUGUGGUAAGUCUUAAUGAAGUCUUCGCUGCCUUUACAGGGUAACACCCUAACCUUUAGGCGAUCUCUUCUCUGCGCAUGUAAGAUGAUAACACUGCUACAUUGAAUGCAGCAUGGCUGCAUGAAUUUCUUAGAGAAUAAGCACUUGUGGCUUAUGUGGGCUUUGUUCCAGGUGUGGAGGUGGUUGCUGCUGAGAUCUAUCUAUCUGCAAUGCUGUUAAUAACUUUUUAUUUCCUGACUAAAUUAACCCCCACUCCUCUCACACUGCGACCCAGACAGAAGGUUGUUGUAGCAGGUUGGUUUUUUUAUGAUAGGGUUUGCGCUUAGCUGCAUCAGAAUAAUGAAGAAACCCCUCGGUGGUGUGUUGCUUCUGCAGCAUGACUAGUUCUUCUGGCUUGGGAACUGCAGGCCUGUUUGUGUUUGGUGGGGCUGUGACCACUUGUUGAACCUGUCUAGGUUUAGCUCUCGGGAAUGGGGCGAGCUUGGCUCUUGUUACUGGGGUGGUUAAAAUUGGGAGUUCAUUAUAAGGAGGGCUUCCAAGGGUAAGAUUAGAUAGCAUGUGAAUUAGCCCUACCACAUGUAUCACCAAUCGUGCAAGGUGCUGUACAGGCAUAGACUGGAAAAUCCCACCCUAAUCUGCUUACUGUCUAACCAUAAGAUAGGAAAUGCUUGGGGUAAUAAAAAAGGAAUCAAUGAGACUGUAUUAGUCAGCAUGACAGGUGUUCAUCAACAGCAGCCUGAUGGCUGUGAAGGAUUUGCUAGAGGGUAGUGAAAGCUCCUUCAAAACUGUCCAAAGAUAAUGAAGUAGCACUGAAUGUGAUUUCUGGGAAUGUGGUGGUGUAUGAGGGGGAUGCUUUGAGAAUUUUGGGUGGUUACUGGAGGCCUGAGUUGCAGAGGCAGGUAUGGAGAGGUAAGCACUCGUUUCCAAAGCACAGUCCUGGCCUGACAGUAGUGAGAAGGCACAGACUACACAGCACUGUGCCUGUGGAGCACAACUGGGGCGGGCAGCAGGACAAACCUGCCCACAGCCUGGGACUGGACAGCAUUACAAGUGCAUGCUAGGGAGAGCAAGCACGCCAAGUUGUGCUCGCUUAUUUUUUUUGCCUUCCAAUAUAUCGGGUAAUAUAAAAAAGGGUGUUGCUUUCCUGGUGAACCUGCCUCAUGCGUAUAUAGACAACACCCCUACCGCUUCUGCCAUGUGGACCGUGCGAGGUGAGGUGGAGGAGUAGGAGGAUAUUGCAGAGAGGCAAACUGGAAAAGAGGAGGGUCUCGCUGUGUUUCCUGUAAGCGUGCAGGUAGACGGCAGACACAGCCAUAGAUGGGAACCUCUGAGAGUAUCCCGACCUCUCUCCUAUCUGUGUUGUGGGUGUGAUCACAGCAGGAUGUGGUCUUUAGGCGUAGAUCAAGAAUGGGGUCAAGAGUGGCUCUGCUAGCCACCUGGGCUGAUAGCUGGGCCACAGUGAGCUAUAUAUUCCUGCUGCGGUUGGUCUUGUCCAAGGAAGUGGCUGUGGGGAAGACUGCACUGACAAACAGGAAAAGCAGCCCUUUCCCACCGCUCUCUUUAGAUCUGUUCUGCGCUUGGAUCUGUGACAGUGGCCUGUGCUCGGUGUGCUGGCUCUCCUCCAGCACACUGCCUGGAGAAAGGCUAGCUGGUCUAGUGGGACAAACCAGCUUGGUGAGCCCAUGUGUUUCCAGUCUUCAGCAGCCAAUGGUAUCUUUCUGAGCCAUUGCGAUGCUAGAGUAGCGCAGCUCAGAUCUCUUGAUGGGAAGUCACCCAACAAGACAUACGUGGGUGCUGGCAAGGAGCAUGACUGCAGCUGCAUUUCUGAAGGAGACCAGGAAGCAUGGGUUGCCAGUCGAUGGUGUAUGGGCUGAAUGUGGCCUGCCAGAGCAACUUCUUCCUUGUGCAGGCUGCCCUACAAUCCUUCCCCAGGGCUCUGAUGCUUCUGCCGGUUCAAAAAGACUUGAAUGUAGCCAAAACACAACUCCUGGGCAGUGCUUCCCCUGUCAGAUCCCCUGUCAUGGAAGUCUUUCUCCCAACAUAGAAUGCUUUGCUCUUGCAGUGCUCAAAAAGGUACUUCUGACCUUCGCUCCCGCUCCAGGAGCCUCACCUCCAGGCAGGCGGUUGAUUUACCCUCCUCUCCUUGUUCCCAAGUCUCUUGGUCCUGGAUUCAAAGUCAGCUUCACCCCAGUUCAGGGUGGAGGUGGCCCUGCAACCAUGAGAUGGCCCUGGGGCAAAGCAAGGCUGGUGUUUCCCUCUCCCUGCAGUUUUGAGGACAGUGCCCAUCAAACGCAGGUGGAGCUGGAGAGCAGAAGGCUGUUGUCCCCUGCCAGGCCAGCUGCCUGCUGGUGACUGAAGGCAGGGCACCAUCUGGUGGCAUGAAAGGAAUUUGUCCGCACGUCUGCAGGAGAGCAGUCCUGACUUUCUCAGCCAGACACAAACUAGUAGUUUCCAACUCCCCCCCCCCCCCCCCCCUUUUUUUUUUCUCUUCUGUGGCCUUAAGCCCCUCUGUGGCUUUCCCUACCUGCCUGAUGCUCUUGUUUCUCCCCAGCUGCUGCGACCACCUCUCGCAGAGACGCUUAAGCUGACAAACUUGGCCAGCUCUGGGUUGUUCCUGGAGUUCCCACAGUUUCUCACUCUGGGAAGGAGCAUUACACAGCUGCAGAGGGAACUGCCCGAGGACAGGCUCUGCUAGGGCCUGAGAUGUGAGAGCUCCACUCCCACUGGAGCUGUCCUAGGUCAGAUCAGGGGUGUGUCUAACCUAGUGUCCUCUUCCUGACAGCAGAUGCCUGGGGAAGGACAGAUGAAGGCAGUGAGCUGGCAGCAGGAGAUAGCUAGAUGGUCUGCCAGCCUCCAAUGUGUAGGCAGGAAUGUCUUGAGUUUGACAUUGUGCCUCUAUUUUGAAUAACCUUCUGUGGCUUUCAUCCUUCCUGAUUUUGACUCAUUACCGUUUGAACCUCCUAGUGUUCGCUACACCUUGUGGAGGGGCAGCUGGGCAGGAGGCUUCUGCCCUGGGCCAGGAGGUGGGAACAGCUGUCUUGAGGUUGCGUGGGCAUUGUUCAUCUGCGUGCGGGGGGCUUGUGGCUCAGAGCACAUACCAGAAAGGAUUGGUGGUAUGUCCCUGCUGUCUCUCUUUUCCAGGUCCCUUGGAGGGACCAGAUACGCCAGAUGUGUCCAGAUUGUGGGUCUGCUGAUCUUCAAGCAGAGAGGAGCAGUGGCACACAGCUGAGAACCAGAUGUCAAGAAUGAAAAUAAAGGGUCUGCAAAGCCCUGGUUAUUGGAGUCCCAAGGAACAGCAGCGGGAUGAGUAUGACCUACAUGGGAAGCUCAUGGCAGGAGUGUAUAUUGGGGAAGUCCUGGUCCAGGGAAGGUGAGGAACCAUCAUAUAGCGCUGUCCAAGGCUGACAGCCCAUCUGAAGAGGGUCCUGAGGCCCUGGUUUCUGUCCUGAGUGCUGUGCAGAGAUUAGAGAUUUGCCGGCUGGCGUUCCAACCCUGCAGGAACCAGCGCGGGGCUGUGCUAAAUGUAAUUAUCUUUAGACAAAUGCAGAUAGCAGGCCUGGAGUGGAGGUACUUAGAUAACGUGCAAGGGACUGCGAUAAUGGUGAUUUUUCUGGGAAGUGCAGCCAAACUCUGAAACUCUGUGCCCAGAGAAUAGCUCUGCGUACACAUUAGGAAUUGCCAAAGCUGAGAGCAGAUGACAAAAUCUCCCACACUUAAAUAUAUUCUUUCCCAAAAGAACACAUGCCUCUGUGUUUAUUUUCAUACUGUGAAAGCAAACUAAGGAACGUGGCCCAUAGCAGCACUACCUAUUGACGUGUGCCAUCAUACUUUCACCUGCCAUUUCUAGUGUCCAUGUCUUUAUGAGCUUGAUCCUACGAACCUUACUGUUGAAUUAAACUGGGGAUUUUAUCUUUCAGUCCAACUGAGACAGAGCUGCCCAUAUAACUAUCUAGCUGGAAAAUGGUCUGGCUGACUGUAUUUCACAGGAUUCUCUGUGCCCGUACAGAUGGCAAGAGACUUUGGCUAGAGGCUAAAGGACAUUUAUUUGAAGGAUUUUCUGCAAAUAUGAACAUAUUCUAAUAGCUGGACUUGUGAAAGCAAAGCUUUCAUGUUUGAGAAGUACAUUUUUUGAGUGGUAGGGAAUGAAGAAAAUGUUACCUAAUUUAUUACUGAAUGCUUGUGAAAGACUUAAUACUCAUAAAACCAGCAGCAUGCCAGAGACAAUGGAGAGGAUCCUGCAGUGGGUCUCUGCACAUAUCCUUGCAAAGCUAUGCCAAAGCUCCUUAAUCCUGAUCUUACUUAUUUCAGUGGAAGGCAUUUGCUGAACAAAGAACUGCGACUGUGUCAAAUCUGUGCAUUGAGGUUUGUGAGGAGGCCAAAAUAUCCAGCCAGGGUGGAACUGGGGUCCACCAACACCAUAGCAUUGUGGCUGAGCUCUUAAAAUCUUAAGUGAAAGGCCUGAUCCAUGCAGCUCUUCCUACAGGAACCACUUGACCCCCCAAUAAAUUGCGAUGAAACUAAAGCAUCCUUGUCCCUGCCCUGCUGUCUUGUUCAUAAAAGCCUAAUUAUUAUCCAGCUGGCAAUCUGAGAAGGGAUAUGUUCACACAGUUUAAUUCUUCCUGCUCAAAUGAAUCCUUGGAAGCUAAGCAGUCAAGUGUGUUUGCUCCCUUUUUUACAGAAGUACGUGUUACGCAGAUUGCUGGGGAAAGGUUGUGCAAGUUUUUAUUGUGAACAGCUUCACAGGUAAGUGUUGGCCUCCCCGGUGCUGAGACCCAUUCUUUGCUGUUCCCUGCACCCUUCUAAGGUUCCUCUUCAAGGUUCGUGCUGGUGGCAUUUUACAGGUCUGUGUCAUCAGCUGCAUUGCGUGCUGUGAUCUGGCUUUCUGUCUACUGGCUUGGAUGACUGAAACUUUUGAACUGGAGCAAACUGACUGCCAGCCACUGGAUAUGAAGCAGUCUUGCUCACUCACAAAUAACCAUAUUCUUGUUUGUGUAAAAGUACUGCUCUGAAAGUGAGUUUUUGCUUGUGCGCUUGAGCUUACUGAAACGUGAAGGAUGGCUAGCUAUAAAUGUGGGAUGCAGCAUGGCCUAAGGAUUAACUGUGGGGACUUUCUAUGUAUUAGUUUAAUUAAUGAUAAUAGAUGUGGUACUCUAUGUAUAACAAUAUGUACUCUUCUGAAAGGCGCUUUCAUGUUUUGGAGUGGGCUGGUCUUUUUGCUGAAUGUAUGCGUGUAGAGCAGCGU
Aquila chrysaetos chrysaetos is the source of this 5377-nucleotide RNA transcript. It is a transcript of the gene named homeobox protein Hox-D9-like, with no coding region annotated. The record is from RefSeq and is a predicted model, not a curated record. The transcript is spliced from 3 exons. NCBI's taxonomy places the organism in Eukaryota, Metazoa, Chordata, Aves, Accipitriformes, Accipitridae.